GGUUGCGAUCAUACCAGCACUAAUGCACCGGAUCCCAUCAGAACUCCGCAGUCAAGCGUGCUUGGGCGAGAGUAGUACUAGGAUGGGUGACCCCCUGGGAAGUCCUCGUGUUGCAACCCCUUUUUUUUCGUUUUUUUGUGCUUUUUAUAUUUACUAGUCGAUGUAUCUUUGGCGUAGCAUCCGAUCGGCCGAUUUUGUGAAAGGAAGGCUUUGACAAAGACGCGCGCGCGCACGGCGGGCCCAAGGCGCGUGACGUAGGCCACGCAUGAGCGCAUAGGUGGGCAUGGGAUCAAGGCGUGGAAAGGUAUAAAGGAAUAUCAGCACUAAUGCACCGGAUCCCAUCAGAACUCCGCAGUUAAGCGGGCUUGGGCGAGAGUAGUACUAGGAUGGGUGUCCCCCUGGGAAGUCCUCGUGUUGCAACCC
This 423-nucleotide long non-coding RNA is filed under the name Helianthus annuus (common sunflower). The record is from RNAcentral. Lineage: Eukaryota; Viridiplantae; Streptophyta; Magnoliopsida; Asterales; Asteraceae.